UACGUAGGGGGCGAGCGUUGUCCGGAGUUACUGGGCGUAAAGCGCACGCAGGCGGUCUGCUAAGUUUGGAGUGACGGUUGGUGGCUUAACUGCCAAAGUGCUUCGAAAACUGACAGACUUGAGGGCUUCAGAGGGACACGGAAUUCCGGGUGGAGUGGUGAAAUGCGUAGAGAUCCGGAGGAACACCAAAGGCGAAGGCAGUGUCCUGGGGAGUACCUGACGCUGAGACGCGAAAGCGCGGGGAGCGAACGGG
This 253-nucleotide ribosomal RNA is filed under the name uncultured bacterium. Its description in RNAcentral is "partial 16S ribosomal RNA". It matches the Rfam family "Bacterial small subunit ribosomal RNA", at positions 524 to 776 of the family's 1533-position model. The record is from RNAcentral.